RNAcentral lists this ribosomal RNA (312 nucleotides) under uncultured Glomeromycotina. RNAcentral describes it as "LSU rRNA". The record is from RNAcentral. Lineage: Eukaryota; Fungi; Glomeromycota.
UUGAAAGGGAAACGAUUGAAGUCAGUCAUGCUGGUGGGAAUCAACUUAGGGGAGACUCUAGGUGCACUUCUUCGCUUGGCAGGUUAACGUCGAUCUUGAAUGCCAUAAAAUAAUUGGGGGAAGGUAGCUCCUUCGGGAGUGUUAUAGCCCUUGAUAGAUGUGAUGUUUGGGGUCGAGGAUUGCAACGGAUACCCUUUGGGGCUAGCCGCCUGAUCUCUAAUCGGUGUUGGGUUACGGAUAGCAUGCUGACCGUGAUCUAAUUACUGGCUAAAAGGUUAGAGCGUGCAUAAAUUCGUUAAGGAUGUUGACGUA